RNAcentral lists this ribosomal RNA (474 nucleotides) under uncultured bacterium. Its description in RNAcentral is "partial 16S ribosomal RNA". It matches the Rfam family "Bacterial small subunit ribosomal RNA", at positions 28 to 507 of the family's 1533-position model. The record is from RNAcentral.
GACGAACGCUGGCGGCGUGCUUAACACAUGCAAGUCGAGCGGUAAGGCGCCUUCGGUAGUACUCGAGCGGCGAACGGGGGAGUAACACGUGAGUAAUCUUCCCUUCACUUCGGGAUAACCACCGGAAACGGUGGCUAAUACCGAAUACGACCAGUCUUUGCAAGAGGUGGUGGUGGAAAUUCUUUUCGGUGAUGCAUGUGCUCGCUGCCUAUCAGCUUGUUGGUUGGGUAAUGGCCAAGCAAGGCGUCGACGGAUAGCCGGCCUGAGAGGGUGACCGGACACACUGGGACUGCGAACCGGCACAGACUCCAACGGGAGGCAGUAGUGGGGAAUAUUGGAAAGUGGGCCAGAGCCUGAUCCAGCAACGCCGCAUGAGGGAUGGCGCCUUUCGGGUUGUAAACCUCUUACAGUACCGACGAAGGGCACUGUCGGGUGGUGACGGUAGGUACAGAAGAAGGACCGGCCAACUACGUG